RNAcentral lists this non-coding RNA (545 nucleotides) under Pan troglodytes (chimpanzee). Lineage: Eukaryota; Metazoa; Chordata; Mammalia; Primates; Hominidae. The record is from RNAcentral.
GAACACAAAAUGGCGACACGUGGUUAGCAUUCGUCGCCAACGAGAAAUUGGGGUCGGCCCGAAAGCUCUAGAAUGCACCCCCCUUCUUCCCCGGGGCCUUCCACCUCCGCGAGUUUUAUGACUUAAAAAACCCCACAGGCUGGUCUGAAGAGGAAGACAAACAUAAAGAUGAAGUGCUUAAUUCAAGGUCACACAAUGUCGGGGAUGGACCUCCAGAUUUCCUUACUGGUGAGACGUGGUCUUGUAACACAGUGGUUAAGAAUGUGACUUUGGAGCCAGCCUGCUAGGGGCUGAAUUCUGACUCAGCCAUUUACUAACUGUGUGACCUUAGGGAGGAGGACCUGGUUGAUAGAAGAAUUUAUCUCGUAGUCUUAACAUCCACUGUAAUUCCAAACUUUGAGGACGAUAGAGAUCAGUGGGCUUUGACUGCCCAGCAUGCAGUCUCCAUUCUUAGGUGGGUUCCCAAGCCUGUAAAAUGUAAGCCUUAUGCUGCUGAGGGCCAUCUUGCCACCCUGAGGGAAACGCUGCCUGAGAAUGAAACCAGC